This 474-nucleotide ribosomal RNA is filed under the name Bacillus subtilis. RNAcentral describes it as "bacterial SSU rRNA". The record is from RNAcentral. Lineage: Bacteria; Bacillati; Bacillota; Bacilli; Caryophanales; Bacillaceae.
CCUUCGGGGGCGCGSWGCAGUAGGGAAUCUUCCGCAAUGGACGAAAGUCUGACGGAGCAACGCCGCGUGAGUGAUGAAGGUUUUCGGAUCGUAAAGCUCUGUUGUUAGGGAAGAACAAGUACCGUUCGAAUAGGGCGGUACCUUGACGGUACCUAACCAGAAAGCCACGGCUAACUACGUGCCAGCAGCCGCGGUAAUACGUAGGUGGCAAGCGUUGUCCGGAAUUAUUGGGCGUAAAGGGCUCGCAGGCGGUUUCUUAAGUCUGAUGUGAAAGCCCCCGGCUCAACCGGGGAGGGUCAUUGGAAACUGGGGAACUUGAGUGCAGAAGAGGAGAGUGGAAUUCCACGUGUAGCGGUGAAAUGCGUAGAGAUGUGGAGGAACACCAGUGGCGAAGGCGACUCUCUGGUCUGUAACUGACGCUGAGGAGCGAAAGCGUGGGGAGCGAACAGGAUUAGAUACCCCCCGKKGAAGCCA